This 468-nucleotide ribosomal RNA is filed under the name uncultured bacterium. RNAcentral's name for it is "partial 16S ribosomal RNA". It matches the Rfam family "Bacterial small subunit ribosomal RNA", at positions 29 to 507 of the family's 1533-position model. The record is from RNAcentral.
UACUAACUCUGGCGGCGUGCUUAACACAUGCAAGUCGAACGGAAAGGCCCUGCUUUUGUGGGGUGCUCGAGUGGCGAACGGGUGAGUAACACGUGAGUAACCUGCCCUUGACUUUGGGAUAACUUCAGGAAACUGGGGCUAAUACCGGAUAGGAGCUCCUGCUGCAUGGUGGGGGUUGGAAAGUCUCGGCGGUUGGGGAUGGACUCGCGGCUUCUGAGCUUGUUGGUGGGGUAGUGGCUUACCAAGGCUUCGACGGGUAGCCGGCCGGAGAGGGUGAUCGGCCACAUGAGGGCUACGGAACGGCCCAGACGCCUACGGGAGGCAGCAGGAGGGAAUAUUGCACAGUGGUCGGAAGCCUGAUGCAGCAGCGCUGCGUGGGGAAUGACGGCCUUCGGGGUGUAAACCGCUUUCGCCUGUGACGAAGCGUGAGUGACGGUAACUGAUGAAUAAGCACCGGCUAACUACGUG